GAGUACGACCGCAAGGUUAAAACUCAAAGAAAUUGACGGGGGCCCGCACAAGCGGAGGAGCAUGUGGCUUAAUUCGAUGCAACGCGAAGAACCUUACCCAGACUUGACAUGUAUCUGCACGUCCUGUGAAAGCAGGAUUCUUUCGAAGGUGAUACACAGGUGCUGCAUGGCUGUCGUCAGUUCGUGCCGUGAGGUGUUUGGUUAAGUCCAGCAACGAACGCAACCCUUGUGACUAGUUGCCACUCCGCAAGGAAGCACUCUAGUCAGACUGCCCGUGCAAACGGGAGGAAGGUGGGGAUGACGUCAAGUCAGUAUGGCCCUUACGUCUGGGGCUGCACACGUGCUACAAUGGCCGGUACAGAAGGCUGCAAGACCGCGAGGUGGAGCUAAUCCCUAAAACCGGCCUCAGUUCGGAUUGGAGUCUGCAACUCGACUCCAUGAAGUUGGAUUCGCUAGUAACGGCGCAUCAGCUACGGCGCCGUGAAUACGUUCCCGGGCCUUGUACACACCGCCCGUCACAUCAUGAAAGCCGUCUGCACCCGAAGUCGUUGAUCCAUCCCGCAAGGGAGGAAGAUGCCGAAGGUGUGGGUGGUAAUUGGGAUGAAGUCGUAACAAGGUAACCAAGGGCGAA
RNAcentral lists this ribosomal RNA (631 nucleotides) under uncultured bacterium. RNAcentral describes it as "bacterial SSU rRNA". It matches the Rfam family "Bacterial small subunit ribosomal RNA", at positions 878 to 1510 of the family's 1533-position model. The record is from RNAcentral.